AACUAUAAACAUGUGCAGAUAAUUUAGAUCUUUGGCGAUCGCCGGAUUAAUUUUGAAAAAAUAGCUUUACAAAAUGUCAAGCACAGUUACUAUUAAACAGAAGAGCGAAUAUUACUACCUUAAAUGCGUGUUGGAAAGAGAGGAGAGCGAUAAAAUGACAUGCAUUAUACUGGAGCCUGUCAAAUUGCGAAGCUUGAUUGGCACUGCUCUCAAACAAUUACAUGGUUUGGUUGGAGCUUCAAUUACUGUGGAUGUUUUAAAAUGUGAGCAGUCGAAUGGUGAAAUAAUAUUGAGAGUCAAAGCGAACAAUUUGGUCAAAGUUUGGAGUUCAUUGACGCUUUUCAGUAAUUAUAACGGCAGUGAAUGUCGUUUUCGUGUCAAACAGAGGCGGGAUGCAAUUUACCAUUUACUCGCCAAACGUCAUCAUCGAAAAAAUCACGAAGACCGACUCAAUGAAGAAAAAAUGUCUUCGUAAUUUCAGCUCAACAAUUCUUCCUAUCAUGUUCAACCUCAUUUAAUAAUAAUCGUUUUAUUUGUUUCUAAUAAUAAUCGUUUUAUUUGCUUUUGUAUGAACAUGCAUCUUAAAUUGUACGUGUCACGUGUUGUGUUCUAACUGCCCCUACUCAAAAGUAAGGUGUCACCUUAUUUAAUGUCAUUGGCAACAGACAGUCGAACAUGGUCACCAUUUGAAGCUGACAAUAUCAACCAACCACGAUAUUUUAAAACUUUUUGAGACAGCAAUUUUAUUUAUGGUUUAAUUACUAAAAGCAUACCAGCCGGAACGUCGCAAGUGGAUUAAGGAGGCACAAAUUUUCACGGGCACUUUUCUGGAAAAGAGGGCAUUGAAUUUAUUUCAAAUGAUCUUUGAGAAUAUAACAGAAUUAUACAACAAUCAUAUUUUCAAAACGGUAAAUGCAUACAAGGUCACAUUGAAAAAUUUUUUGGCCACCUUUUUCAGUGAGAAGGGCACUUUGUAAAGGCACGUCUCCUGAUUUCGGACGAACACACAAUCUUUGGACCGGACCUGAAUGUCACAAACAUGCAUAUGUAUAAAUAAAAAAAAAUUAGAUAUAAAAAAUAAAUAAAAAAAUUAAAAAAUUUCUUCUGAUUCU
This is an RNA transcript of Dendronephthya gigantea, 1112 nucleotides long. It is a transcript of the gene named ribonuclease P protein subunit p14-like, with no coding region annotated. The record is from RefSeq and is a predicted model, not a curated record. The transcript is spliced from 6 exons. NCBI's taxonomy places the organism in Eukaryota, Metazoa, Cnidaria, Anthozoa, Malacalcyonacea, Nephtheidae.